AUACUUGGAGUUCUGUGUGUAUGA
This 24-nucleotide non-coding RNA is filed under the name Arabidopsis thaliana (thale cress). Lineage: Eukaryota; Viridiplantae; Streptophyta; Magnoliopsida; Brassicales; Brassicaceae. The record is from RNAcentral.